AUUGAACGCUGGCGGCAGGCCUAACACAUGCCAGUCGAGCGGAUGAGGGGAGCUUGCUCCCUGAUUUAGCGGCGGACGGGUGAGUAAUGCCUAGGAAUCUGCCUGGUAGUGGGGGAUAACGUUCCGAAAGGAACGCUAAUACCGCAUACGUCCUACGGGAGAAAGCAGGGGACCUUCGGGCCUUGCGCUAUCAGAUGAGCCUAGGUCGGAUUAGCUAGUUGGUGAGGUAAUGGCUCACCAAGGCGACGAUCCGUAACUGGUCUGAGAGGAUGAUCAGUCACACUGGAACUGAGACACGGUCCAGACUCCUACGGGAGGCAGCAGUGGGGAAUAUUGGACAAUGGGCGAAAGCCUGAUCCAGCCAUGCCGCGUGUGUGAAGAAGGUCUUCGGAUUGUAAAGCACUUUAAGUUGGGAGGAAGGGCUGCUGGUUAAUACCCUGCAGUUUUGACGUUACCAACAGAAUAAGCACCGGCUAACUUCGUG
Molecule: ribosomal RNA, 484 nt
Filed under: uncultured bacterium
Lineage: Bacteria
Description: partial 16S ribosomal RNA
Rfam family: Bacterial small subunit ribosomal RNA
Source: RNAcentral